UAACAACGUGGAAAAAUUCAAGGUGUCUGAAUACUUUCAGAAUGCACAGUAUUGUAGAACUUCAGAUACCACAGAUAUAUAGUAUUGUAGAACAGCAGAUACCACAGAUAUAUAGUAUUGUAGAACUUCAGAUACCACAGAUAUAUAGUAUUGUAGAACAGCAGAUACCACAGAUAUAUAGUAUAGUAGAACAGCAGAAUCCAUAGAUAUAUAGUAUAGUAGAACAGCAGAAUCCACAGAUAUAUAGUAUUGUAGAACAGCAGAUACCACAGAUAUAUAGUAUAGUAGAACAGCAGAAUCCACAGAUAUAUAGUAUUGUAGAACAGCAGAUACCACAGAUAUAUAGUAUAGUAGAACAGCAGAAUCCAUAGAUAUAUAGUAUAGUAGAACAGCAGAAUCCACAGAUAUAUAGUAUUGUAGAACAGCAGAUACCACAGAUAUAUAGUAUAGUAGAACAGCAGAUACCACAGAUAUAUAGUAUUUUAUAACAUAAUUCCAUUGAGAGAGAGUAUUGUAUAACAUAUACUGUAGAUAGUAUUGUAUAACACAUACUGUAGAGAGUAUUGUAGAACAGAGAGAGAGAGUAUUGUAGAACAUAUACUGUAGAUAGUAUUGUAUAACACAUACUGUAGAGAGUAUUGUAGAACAGAUAGUAUUGUAGAACAGCGGAAUCCAUAGACGGAUAGUAUUGUGGAUCAGAGGGCUCGCAGUUGUGGAACAGAACAUUUGAUGUAUGUUGUACAUAUUCCUGAACUUGUGCCUAUUUUAUAAUCCUGACAAUAUAGUUUUCUUCUUCUUCUGUGUAUCGUUUCCCAGGAUGUAAGAAAGUGUACACCAAGUCUUCCCAUCUAAAAGCCCACCUGAGGACCCACACUGGUGAGAAGCCGUACAGGUGUUCGUGGGAGGGGUGUGACUGGCGUUUCGCCCGUUCUGAUGAGUUGACUCGUCACUUCAGGAAACACACAGGGGCCAAACCCUUCCAAUGCUCUGUCUGCUCUCGCUCCUUCUCCCGAUCGGAUCACCUGGCCCUGCAUAUGAAGAGGCACCAGAUCUAACACACACACACACUAGCUUGAAUCACAAAGACAUGCACUCAAAUCAGGAAACGUUCAACCUAAACUGUACCGUAGACCUUGUAGUUUUUAUCUUGACCUGGUCGUAGUUGGAAAUGACAACUUGUUCUCAACUGGCCUACCUGGUUAAAUAAAAUUAAAAUAAGUCUAUACCAGUGGCUCCCAAACUGUGGGCAGGGACCCACUUUUGGACAGAACCCCACCCACCCACCCACC
This is a non-coding RNA of Salmo salar (Atlantic salmon), 1289 nucleotides long. NCBI's taxonomy places the organism in Eukaryota, Metazoa, Chordata, Actinopteri, Salmoniformes, Salmonidae. The record is from RefSeq and is a predicted model, not a curated record.